This 274-nucleotide ribosomal RNA is filed under the name uncultured bacterium. RNAcentral's name for it is "partial 16S ribosomal RNA". It matches the Rfam family "Bacterial small subunit ribosomal RNA", at positions 523 to 796 of the family's 1533-position model. The record is from RNAcentral.
AUACGGAGGGAUCGAACGUUAAUCGGAAUUACUGGGCGUAAAGCGCGCGUAGGCGGCUUUGUAAGUCGGAUGUGAAAGCCCCGGGCUUAACCUGGGAAUUGCAUUCGAUACUGCAGAGCUAGAGUAUGGUAGAGGGAAGUGGAAUUUCCGGUGUAGCGGUGAAAUGCGUAGAUAUCGGAAGGAACACCAGUGGCGAAGGCGACUUCCUGGGCCAAUACUGACGCUGAGGUGCGAAAGCGUGGGGAGCAAACAGGAUUAGAAACCCCGGUAGUCC